UACGUAGGGGGCAAGCGUUGUCCGGAUUUACUGGGCGUAAAGGGCGCGUAGGCGGCCAGCACAAGUCAGUUGUGAAAUCUCCGGGCUUAACUCGGAAAGGUCAACUGAUACUGUGCGGCUAGAGUGCAGAAGGGGCAACUGGAAUUCUCGGUGUAGCGGUGAAAUGCGUAGAUAUCGAGAGGAACACCUGCGGCGAAGGCGGGUUGCUGGGCUGACACUGACGCUGAUGCGCGAAAGCCAGGGGAGCGAACGGG
RNAcentral lists this ribosomal RNA (254 nucleotides) under uncultured bacterium. Its description in RNAcentral is "partial 16S ribosomal RNA". It matches the Rfam family "Bacterial small subunit ribosomal RNA", at positions 524 to 776 of the family's 1533-position model. The record is from RNAcentral.